RNAcentral lists this ribosomal RNA (618 nucleotides) under Litoscalpellum sp. CJS-2008. Its description in RNAcentral is "eukaryotic LSU rRNA". It matches the Rfam family "Eukaryotic large subunit ribosomal RNA", at positions 68 to 628 of the family's 3401-position model. The record is from RNAcentral. Lineage: Eukaryota; Metazoa; Arthropoda; Thecostraca; Scalpellidae.
AACGGGAUUCCCUCAGUAACGGCGAGUGAAAUGGGAUGAGCCCAGCACCGAAUCCGGCUGCCGAAAGGCGGUCGUGAAAUGUGGUGUUCGGGAGGGCUCUGUCCGUGUCCGGUGUCGGUCCAAGUCUUCUGGAAAGGAGUUCCACGGAGGGUGACAGGCCCGUGCGACCGAUUGCCGCGCUCGCGGACGAGUCCUCCUUCGAGUCGGGUUGUUCGCUAAUGCAGCCCCAAGCAGGUGGUAAGCUCCAUCUAAGGCUAAAUAUAACCACGAGCCCGAUAGUCCACAAGUACAGUGAUGGAAAGUUGAAAAGUACUCUGAAGAGAGAGUCAAAUAGCCCGUGAAGCUGCCAGUAUGGGAUUAAGCGCACGUAUGACGCGUGUCGUCGGCCAAAUAGGCGACUGUUGGGUGUGCACACUGUGCGCGGGUGCGCUCUGUUGGCGUGCUCGUGCGUUCGGUGUAUGCGCAUGCUCGGCAGAACGCUUCCCUUUGGUCGCACAUUGACAGGUCGUGGCUUCGUUGUCCAUGGUCUUAUUGCCGGCUGGUGACUCGCAGAGCCGUGUCGAGCGCUGGCACAGUCUUACGGCUGUGUCUGGCGUGUUCCGUCAAUUUGGCGCUGCC